CCUACGGGAGUCAGCAGUGGGGAAUAUUGGACAACGGGGGGAACCCUGAUCCAGCCAUGCCGCGUGUGUGAAGAAGGCCCUCGGGUUGUAAAGCACUUUCAGUGAGGAAGAACGCCUGGUGGUUAAUACCCAUCAGGAAAGACAUCACUCACAGAAGAAGCACCGGCUAACUCCGUGCCAGCAGCCGCGGUAAUACGGAGGGUGCGAGCGUUAAUCGGAAUUACUGGGCGUAAAGCGCGCGUAGGUGGCUUGAUAAGCCGGUUGUGAAAGCCCCGGGCUCAACCUGGGAACGGCAUCCGGAACUGUCAAGCUAGAGUGCAGGAGAGGAAGGUAGAAUUCCCGGUGUAGCGGUGAAAUGCGUAGAGAUCGGGAGGAAUACCAGUGGCGAAGGCGGCCUUCUGGACUGACACUGACACUGAGGUGCGAAAGCGUGGGUAGCAAACAGGAUUAGAUACCCCAGUAGUC
This 465-nucleotide ribosomal RNA is filed under the name Vreelandella stevensii. Its description in RNAcentral is "partial 16S ribosomal RNA". It matches the Rfam family "Bacterial small subunit ribosomal RNA", at positions 338 to 795 of the family's 1533-position model. The record is from RNAcentral. Lineage: Bacteria; Pseudomonadati; Pseudomonadota; Gammaproteobacteria; Oceanospirillales; Halomonadaceae.